GAUGAACGCUGGCGGCGUGCCUAAUACAUGCAAGUCGAGCGAACAGACGAGGAGCUUGCUCCUCUGACGUUAGCGGCGGACGGGUGAGUAACACGUGGAUAACCUACCUAUAAGACUGGGAUAACUUCGGGAAACCGGAGCUAAUACCGGAUAAUAUAUUGAACCGCAUGGUUCAAUAGUGAAAGACGGUUUUGCUGUCACUUAUAGAUGGAUCCGCGCCGCAUUAGCUAGUUGGUAAGGUAACGGCUUACCAAGGCAACGAUGCGUAGCCGACCUGAGAGGGUGAGCGACCAAACUGGAACUGAGACACGGUCCAGACUCCUACGGGAGGCAGCAGUAGGGAAUCUUCCGCAAUGGGCGAAAGCCUGACGGAGCAACGCCGCGUGAGUGAUGAAGGUCUUCGGAUCGUAAAACUCUGUUAUUAGGGAAGAACAAAUGUGUAAGUAACUAUGCACGUCUUGACGGUACCUAAUCAGAAAGCCACGGCUAACUACGUG
RNAcentral lists this ribosomal RNA (497 nucleotides) under uncultured bacterium. Its description in RNAcentral is "partial 16S ribosomal RNA". It matches the Rfam family "Bacterial small subunit ribosomal RNA", at positions 28 to 507 of the family's 1533-position model. The record is from RNAcentral.